RNAcentral lists this ribosomal RNA (508 nucleotides) under uncultured bacterium. RNAcentral's name for it is "partial 16S ribosomal RNA". It matches the Rfam family "Bacterial small subunit ribosomal RNA", at positions 28 to 523 of the family's 1533-position model. The record is from RNAcentral.
GAUGAACGCUAGCUACAGGCUUAACACAUGCAAGUCGAGGGGAAACGACAUCGAAAGCUUGCUUUUGAUGGGCGUCGGCCGGCGCACGGGUGAGUAACGCGUAUCCAACCUGCCCACCACUUGGGGAUAACCUUGCGAAAGUAAGACUCAUACCCAAUGACGUCUCUAGAAGACAUCUGAAAGAGAUUAAAGAUUUAACGGUGAUGGAGGGGGAUGCGUCUGAUUAGCUGGUUGGCGGGGUAACGGCCCACCAAGGCGACGAUCAGUAGGGGUUCUGAGAGGAAGGUCCCCCACAUUGGAACUGAGACACGGUCCAAACUCCUACGGGAGGCAGCAGUGAGGAAUAUUGGUCAAUGGGCGAGAGCCUGAACCAGCCAAGUAGCGUGCAGGAUGACGGCCCUAUGGGUUGUAAACUGCUUUUAUAAGGGAAUAAAGUGAGUCUCGUGAGACUUUUUGCAUGUACCUUAUGAAUAAGGACCGGCUAAUUCCGUGCCAGCAGCCGCAGUAA